This 275-nucleotide long non-coding RNA is filed under the name dengue virus type 2. Its description in RNAcentral is "Dengue virus type 2 sfRNA3". The stretch from base 183 to 275 matches the Rfam family "Flavivirus 3' UTR cis-acting replication element (CRE)". Lineage: Riboviria; Orthornavirae; Kitrinoviricota; Flasuviricetes; Amarillovirales; Flaviviridae. The record is from RNAcentral.
AUCUGGGAGGCCACAAACCAUGGAAGCUGUACGCAUGGUGUAGUGGACUAGCGGUUAGAGGAGACCCCUCCCUUGCAAAUCGCAGCAACAAUGGGGGCCCAAGGUGAGAUGAAGCUGUAGUCUCACUGGAAGGACUAGAGGUUAGAGGAGACCCCCCCGAAACAAAAAACAGCAUAUUGACGCUGGGAAAGACCAGAGAUCCUGCUGUCUCCUCAGCAUCAUUCCAGGCACAGAACGCCAGAAAAUGGAAUGGUGCUGUUGAAUCAACAGGUUCU